ACUUGGAAGCUUCUACCUCCAGAAGUCCAGACACCUCCCCUGUACCUCUCGUACCACAGAGGACAGGUCUCCUCCAGCUGUGCCCCCACUCCCCUAAAAGCCUUGUAUUCCCCCCUGCAGGUUCCCUCUGGCCCCACCAGGAGAAGAAGAUGGCCUAUGAAAAAUCAACUGAUAUCUCUGAUGUCUCCAGGUCAAUGUUCCUGUACCCAUGGCUGGAAUAUCCAGACAAGACCAAAGAACUCAGAAAAGCCAUGGCUCCUGUUCAUCUGCCCUUGUCCUGCUACCAGAUGCCAAAGGAAGAGUUUCCCCCAAGUCCAGAGUGCUGGAGGCAGCAUCCGAGCAAGCCAAACUCAGUCCCGUACUGCUACUUCAAGAAACCUGAGAUCUACACGCACUGGCACGACCUGUAUGAUCAGCGAGAGGAAAGGGAGGCUGAGAAGAUGUUGAGGAAAAUGAGAGAUGACUGUAGGUACAUCAAAGAGGUACAUCAAACCCACAUCAAAAUGUUCCAUCUCCCAAUGAGCAAGCUGACUAUAAAAUCUGAGAUGCGAUCCAGGCCCUUAGAGCCUACCCAGGACCCCCUGAAGUGGCAAAGAUUAAGGGAACUCACAAAAAGCCUGGAAUCUCCCAGAGAGGAUGAGCAGUUCUAUGCAGCACAGGCUCUGGGAUGCUUACGCAUCAGUGACAAGUUUGUCAUGGAGGCACUACAGCAGGUGGCCCAAACUGGUCCAGAGAAAGUGAAGUACGAGGCCUACCGAACCCUGGCCAUCCUGGGUUGCCUGAAUAAGCAUGUGAUCCGGGCUCUCAUCAAACAGCUGAAGGAGAAAAAUGAGGGUCAAAGGAUGGAGACUUUGACGGGGCUACGAAUGGCUCUUAACUCCUGGGCUGCUGUCUCUAAAGACAAGGUGAUUGGGAGGACAGUCUUUAAUUGGGGGCAAAGCUGGACAAGAGGACUCAAGUCGGGGAUGAGGGCAAGCUGGUGCCUGUACUACAGACACUGAUCAAGAAGUCGUCCAGUGAAGCAUCUCUGGAGGCAGCCCUGUGCCUGGGUUUCCUGAGGCCUUGCAGCAACAUGGUCCAAGAGUUCUUGUUGCAGUGCCUGUGCCAAGGACUCAAGACCCAGCGGAUGAAGGCACUUAGGAUGCUGGUCAAGGUGAUGCACGUGCACUCAGCCCCAGUCAUCAAGGCCAUCCUAGACCAGCUGUGUUCUUCCAGUGUCCUUGAGGACCGCUUUGAAGCCACCCAAAUGCUCAAGACCAUUGGGCUGGAACAGAUCCAGGCACAGGGGCUAGAGGAACUCACAUUUAACCUGCUCAGGAGGAAGACGCAUAAUGAACCCUUCCUUGCUGUGAGGCAGGCUGUGGCUCAAACUGUGGAAGAGCUCAAGUUGAAGCCUACGAUGAUGAACUUGGUGGAGGCACAACUGAUGAACCCAGAUGCCACUGCACGCCAGGAAGCAGUCAUCUCUUUGGGUGUCCUGGGGAUCCGCAGUCCACAAGUGUUCCACUUGCUCCUGGACUUACUAGAUGCAGAAAACCACCAGGCUGUGAAGAAGAGUCUACAAGAAACAUUAAUCCUUUGUGCCUCAAUUGAUCCCUGGAUCCAAAACAAGCUGAAAAACAAGGUUCUCUCUGUAUAUGAGGCACCUAAGACCAAUGUGAAGGCAGAGCCCACAAGGUUCCAGAAAGAGCCUGAGAACCCAGAAGAGUUAACUAUUCAAGACUUUCGACUUGCAAAGCUGAACCCCUUGUUUAUUGCAAAGUCCAUCACCAAAGUAGGCCAAAAGAAAACGCCUGCUUUCCCACCGUGCUGCUCGAAACCACGAAAACAUAGGCCACAGGUCAUAGGGCCCUGGCAGCCAAGGAUCAAGAAACAGCUCCGGGUCCUUGCUGAAAUUGCCAAAUAAGUCAAUUCUUUGGGCCUACUCCCCGACUCCCUCCCUGAAGAUGCUUCUCAGGCUCCCAUGAGAAAACAAUCUAUACUUAUCUUCCGUGAAUAAACAAGUGUCACUCUA
RNA transcript from Homo sapiens (human), 2014 nucleotides. It is a transcript of the gene named HEAT repeat containing 9, with no coding region annotated. The transcript has 15 exons. The record is from RefSeq and is marked validated. Lineage: Eukaryota; Metazoa; Chordata; Mammalia; Primates; Hominidae.